RNAcentral lists this ribosomal RNA (507 nucleotides) under uncultured Glomeromycotina. RNAcentral describes it as "partial small subunit ribosomal RNA". It matches the Rfam family "Eukaryotic small subunit ribosomal RNA", at positions 591 to 1092 of the family's 1831-position model. The record is from RNAcentral. Lineage: Eukaryota; Fungi; Glomeromycota.
CCAAUAGCGUAUAUUAAAGUUGUUGCAGUUAAAAAGCUCGUAGUUGAAUUUCGGGAUUGACGUGACGGUCGUGCCUUACGGGGUAUGAACUGUCGCCGUUGAUUUCUCACCUUCUGGAGAAGCUCGAUGUCCUUAAUUGGGUGUCUUGCGGAACCAGGACCUUUACCUUGAAAAAAUUAGAGUGUUUAAAGCAGGCAUUAUUGCUCGAAUACAUUAGCAUGGCAUAAUAGAAUAGGACGGCAUGGUUCUAUUUUGUUGGUUUCUAGGAUCACCGUAAUGAUUAAUAGGGAUAGUUGGGGGCAUUAGUAUUCAAUUGUCAGAGGUGAAAUUCUUGGAUUUAUUGAAGACUAACUACUGCGAAAGCAUUUGCCAAGGAUGUUUUCAUUAAUCAAGAACGAAAGUUAGGGGAUCGAAGACGAUCAGAUACCGUCGUAGUCUUAACCAUAAACUAUGCCGACUAGGAAUCAGACGAUGUUAAUUUUUUAAUGACUCGUUUGGCACCUUACG